CGUUUCUACACCCCCCUCCUCUCCUCCUCCUCCCUCCUUUGUAGAAAAAAAAAUACGGGAGGAGGAGGAGGAGGAGGGUGAGGGAAAAAAAUGAAG
Molecule: non-coding RNA, 96 nt
Organism: Xyrichtys novacula (pearly razorfish)
Lineage: Eukaryota; Metazoa; Chordata; Actinopteri; Labriformes; Labridae
Source: the annotation of a GenBank genome assembly